RNAcentral lists this long non-coding RNA (278 nucleotides) under Elaeis guineensis (African oil palm). Its description in RNAcentral is "long non-coding RNA (EGUI_LNC045201)". The record is from RNAcentral. Lineage: Eukaryota; Viridiplantae; Streptophyta; Magnoliopsida; Arecales; Arecaceae.
UACCUUUUAAGAAGAUUGGAGAUCCUACUAUGUGUACGAGGUGGAGGAGGAAUAUACGUCUACUAGCUCCUGAUUAAUAUGUUCUUAAAGUCCCAAGGCUCUUUGCUCUUCAGAGACUCUCUUAGAGCGUAACUUUCUUCCUACUGCUUCAUCUUGGUUAAAUAAUUUUUCAAGAAGAUAGCAUUGAGUCACAAUCACAUUAUAAUCUCAUCGAAAAGUAGUAUCCCAAACUCUUUUAGGAAGAGCUUUAUAGACCUAUCCUCCAACAUAUCUACCCG